UACGUAGGUGGCAAGCGUUGUCCGGAAUUACUGGGCGUAAAGGGCUCGUAGGCGGCCAACUAAGUCAUACGUGAAAUCCCUCAGCUUAACCGGGGAACUGCGUCUGAUACUGGAUGGCUUGAGAUUGGGAGAGGGAUGCGGAAUUCCAGGUGUAGCGGUGAAAUGCGUAGAUAUCUGGAGGAACACCGGUGGCGAAGGCGGCAUCCUGGACCAACACUGACGCUGAGGAGCGAAAGCCAGGGGAGCAAACGGG
Molecule: ribosomal RNA, 253 nt
Filed under: uncultured bacterium
Lineage: Bacteria
Description: partial 16S ribosomal RNA
Rfam family: Bacterial small subunit ribosomal RNA
Source: RNAcentral